This 1425-nucleotide long non-coding RNA is filed under the name Oncorhynchus kisutch (coho salmon). RNAcentral describes it as "lncRNA (ENSOKIG00005024379.1)". Lineage: Eukaryota; Metazoa; Chordata; Actinopteri; Salmoniformes; Salmonidae. The record is from RNAcentral.
AUGGCUCUCUCUCGCUCCCUGUCUCUCUCUCUCGCUCCCUGUCUCUCUCUCUCGCUCCCUGUCUCUCUCGCUCUCUCUCUCGCUCCCUGUCUCUCUCUCUCGCUCCCUGUCUCUCUCUCUCGCUCCCUGUCUCUCUCUCUCGCUCCCUGUCUCUCUCUCUCGCUUCCUGUCUCUCUCUCUCGCUCCCUGUCUCUCUCUCUCGCUCCCUGUCUCUCUCUCUCUCUCCCUGUCUCUCGCUCCCUGUCUCUCUCUCUCGCUCCCGCUCUCUCUCUCGCUCCCUGUCUCUCGCUCCCGCUCUCUCUCUCUCGCUUCCUGUCUCUCUCUCUAGCUCCCUCUCUCUCUCUCCCGCUCUCUCACUCCCGCUCUCUCUCGCUCCCUGUCUCUCGCUCCCUGUCUCUCUUACUCCCACUCUCUCUCUCGCUCCCUGUCUCUCUCUCACUCCCUGUCUCUCUCUCUCUCUCUCUCUCUCUCUCUCACUCCCGCUCUCUCUCGCUCCCUGUCUCUCGCUCCCUCUCUCUCACUCCCGCUCUCUCUCGCUCCCUGUCUCUCGCUCCCUGUCUCUCUCUCUCUUGCUCCCACUCUCUCUCUCUCGCUCCCUGUCUCUCUCUCGCUCCCUGUCUCUCUCUCUCUCACUCCCGCUCUCUCUCGCUCCCUGUCUCUCGCUCCCUGUCUCUCUCUCUCUCCCUCUCCCUCGCUCCCUGUCUCUCUCUCUCGCUCCCUGUCUCUCGCUCCCUGUCUCUCUCUCUCGCUCCCACUCUCGUUCCCGCUCUCUCGCUCCAGCUCUCUCGCUCCCUGUCUCUCUCUCUCUCUCUCGCUCCCGCUCUCUCGCUCCCUGUCUCUCUCUCUCUCGCUCCCGCUCUCUCGCUCCCUGUCUCUCGCUCCCUGUCUCUCUCUCUCGCUCCCUGUCUCUCUCUCUCUCGCUCCCACUCUCGUUCCCGCUCUCUCGCUCCCUGUCUCUCUCUCUCUCGCUCCUGCUCUCUCUCUCUCUCUCGCCCCCUGUCUGUCUCUCUCUCGCUCCCUGUCUCUCGCUCCCGCUCUCUCGCUCCUGCUCUCUCUCUCGCUCCCGCUCUCUCUCUCGCUCCCACUCUCGUUCCCGCUCUCUUGCUCCAGCUCUCUCUCUCUCGCUCCCACUCUCGUUCCCGCUCUCUCGCUCCAGCUCUCUCGCUCCCUGUCUCUCGCUCUCUCUCGUUCCCGCUCUCUCGCUCCUGCUCUCUCUCUCUCACCCCCUGUCUGCCUCUCUCUCUCGCUCCAGCUCUCUCGCUCCCUGUCUCUCUCUCUCUCUCUCUCUCGCUCCCGCUCUCUCGCUCCUGCUCUCUCUCUCUCGCCGCUGUCUGUCUCUCUCGCUCCCGCUCUCUCUCUCGCUCGCUCCCUCUCGCUCGCUCCCUCUCGCGUGGUCAAAAGACGUGCACACAGGCACGAACGCAC